This 48-nucleotide ribosomal RNA is filed under the name Lactarius rimosellus. RNAcentral's name for it is "partial 28S ribosomal RNA". The record is from RNAcentral. Lineage: Eukaryota; Fungi; Basidiomycota; Agaricomycetes; Russulales; Russulaceae.
GCCUCAAAUCGGGUGAGACUACCCGCUGAACUUAAGCAUAUCAAUAAG